UAGUAAUUUAUCAAAUAUAAAAGCACAUCU
RNAcentral lists this small RNA (30 nucleotides) under Plasmodium falciparum 3D7. RNAcentral describes it as "Pfa-mtR6514". Lineage: Eukaryota; Apicomplexa; Aconoidasida; Haemosporida; Plasmodiidae. The record is from RNAcentral.